GGGGGAUAACGUCCGGAAACGGGCGCUAAUACCGCAUACGUCCUGAGGGAGAAAGUGGGGGAUCUUCGGACCUCACGCUAUCAGAUGAGCCUAGGUCGGAUUAGCUAGUUGGUGGGGUAAAGGCCUACCAAGGCGACGAUCCGUAACUGGUCUGAGAGGAUGAUCAGUCACACUGGAACUGAGACACGGUCCAGACUCCUACGGGAGGCAGCAGUGGGGAAUAUUGGACAAUGGGCGAAAGCCUGAUCCAGCCAUGCCGCGUGUGUGAAGAAGGUCUUCGGAUUGUAAAGCACUUUAAGUUGGGAGGAAGGGCAGUAAGUUAAUACCUUGCUGUUUU
This 337-nucleotide ribosomal RNA is filed under the name Pseudomonas aeruginosa. Its description in RNAcentral is "bacterial SSU rRNA". It matches the Rfam family "Bacterial small subunit ribosomal RNA", at positions 138 to 471 of the family's 1533-position model. The record is from RNAcentral. Lineage: Bacteria; Pseudomonadati; Pseudomonadota; Gammaproteobacteria; Pseudomonadales; Pseudomonadaceae.